Molecule: transfer RNA, 84 nt
Filed under: Gossypium hirsutum (cotton)
Lineage: Eukaryota; Viridiplantae; Streptophyta; Magnoliopsida; Malvales; Malvaceae
Rfam family: tRNA
About the family: Transfer RNA (tRNA) molecules are approximately 80 nucleotides in length. Their secondary structure includes four short double-helical elements and three loops (D, anti-codon, and T loops). Further hydrogen bonds mediate the characteristic L-shaped molecular structure. tRNAs have two regions of fundamental functional importance: the anti-codon, which is responsible for specific mRNA codon recognition, and the 3' end, to which the tRNAs corresponding amino acid is attached (by aminoacyl-tRNA synthetases). tRNAs cope with the degeneracy of the genetic code in two manners: having more than one tRNA (with a specific anti-codon) for a particular amino acid; and 'wobble' base-pairing, i.e. permitting non-standard base-pairing at the 3rd anti-codon position.
Source: Rfam by way of RNAcentral
GUCAGUACGACCGAGUGGUCUAAGGCGCCAGACACAAGUUCUGGUCUUCGUGAGGAGGCGUGGGUUCAAAUCCCACUUCUGACA